Harpia harpyja (harpy eagle) is the source of this 507-nucleotide long non-coding RNA. RefSeq lists it as uncharacterized. The record is from RefSeq and is a predicted model, not a curated record. The transcript is spliced from 2 exons. NCBI's taxonomy places the organism in Eukaryota, Metazoa, Chordata, Aves, Accipitriformes, Accipitridae.
CCCGUCGCCUUCCCCUGUGCGGAGGCAUGAUCCCUCUCCCCUGUUUGUCCUUCUUCCCGUGGAUUUCACGGAUCUGAGGGGACUAGCUCUCUGCCAAGUUUGGUCUGUGUGGGCAAUGGCCUCGAGUUCAGAGGGGACUGGGAGGGAAGAGGGUCAGGCUCUGCCCCAUGCUGCGCACACAUGAAACGACUGCGUGUGCCUCAUUUCUUUAUCAAGCCAGGCUGAAUGUGCUUCCUUCUGAGGAAUAAAGCAGCACCAGAAUGGAAAAGAACAGAUGACACCAGUGUCUAGGAUCUGGGUGCCCUCCUUGGAGAACAAGAGGGACGGGUGAGGCAUAUCCACCACUGCCUGUGGUGGAAACCGAAGUCACCGCUGUUCCUUUCCUUCAGCAUCAUCCAUAAUGCUGUCAUCUGGUCUCUGUGCAAGGGAAGGGCAGACACCGAUGGCCUGCCUCCUUGUGGGUUGUGUAUUAUCAGCAGUUUCAUAACAAAAGAGUUUAAGGCUUAA